GAUGAACGCUGGCGGCGUGCUUAACACAUGCAAGUCGAACGGACAGGCCCUGCGCUUGCGGGGCUCUCGUUAGGGGAACGGGUGUGUGAAACGCGAGUAUCCUCUCCCUGUCAGUGUGAGAACACUACGAAACAGGGGCUAAUAUCGGGUAGGAGCUACUGCUCCACGGGGGGGGUUGGAAAGAUUCGGCGGUACGGGAUGGAAUCGCGGGUUACCAGCUUGUUGGUGUGGUAGUUGCGUUCCAAGCGUUCGACGGGUAGCCGGCCUGGGAGGGUGACCGGCCACAUUGGGACUAAGAUAGGGCCCAGAAGCCUACGGGAGGCAGCGGUGGGGAGUAUUACACAAUGGGCGGGAGCCUGAUGCAGCAGCGCCGCGUGCGGGAUGCCGGCCUUCGGGUGGUAAACCGCUUUCGCCUGAGACGAAGCGUGAGUGACGGUAAUGAGUAAAGAAGCACCGGCUAACUACGUG
This 468-nucleotide ribosomal RNA is filed under the name uncultured bacterium. Its description in RNAcentral is "partial 16S ribosomal RNA". It matches the Rfam family "Bacterial small subunit ribosomal RNA", at positions 28 to 507 of the family's 1533-position model. The record is from RNAcentral.